This 66-nucleotide transfer RNA is filed under the name Loxodonta africana (African savanna elephant). It matches the Rfam family "tRNA". Rfam says of the family: Transfer RNA (tRNA) molecules are approximately 80 nucleotides in length. The record is from Rfam by way of RNAcentral. Lineage: Eukaryota; Metazoa; Chordata; Mammalia; Proboscidea; Elephantidae.
GCUGGUGGAGCAGUGGUUAAGCGUUUGGCUGUUAACCAAAAGGUUGGCAAUUCAAAUCCACCAGCC